Molecule: ribosomal RNA, 130 nt
Filed under: Casearia javitensis
Lineage: Eukaryota; Viridiplantae; Streptophyta; Magnoliopsida; Malpighiales; Salicaceae
Description: ITS1
Rfam family: 5.8S ribosomal RNA
About the family: 5.8S ribosomal RNA (5.8S rRNA) is a component of the large subunit of the eukaryotic ribosome.
Source: RNAcentral
GCAUCGAUUGAGAACGCAGCGAAAUGCGAUACUUGGUGUGAAUUGCAGAAUCCCGUGAACCAUCGAGUCUUUGAACGCAAGUUGCGCCCGAGGCCUGCUGGCCGAGGGCACGCCUGCCUGGGUGUCACGC